GAAAGCUCCUCAAGAAUAAGGACUUUGUGUUGUUUGAUGCUAUAUUCUCAAUAGCAAGAAUAAAGCCUGCCACAUAAUAGGUGCUCAUUAAGUAUUUGUUGUCAAAUGAAAAACUUCUAGCCAUUCAAUAUCUCUUUCCUGACCUACUGAAGAAUAAUAAAGAACUUUCUUUUCUCUCUAGACUCCCAAAUAAUUUUGUUUUGUAUCUCUUCUGUAAGCCUAUGAAGAACUCUCUUCACUAUUUGAUGAUAUCUUAUUUGCAUUUUAUUCCCUGGCACCUAGCAUAACAUCAAUUAACAAGUAUUUGUUGAAUAAAUAAAUGAAUGAGUUGAUAAGGGGCCUGUAUUAUAAGCAUAAUUACUGGGUAAAUAGAAUAAAUCCUGCCCUAUCUCCCUUCCUCAUACUUCCAUUCUUACUCUUAUUCUUCUUCCAACCAUCCCCACCUGAACCCUGAAACUGGCUACCCUCUCUCUUACCCAUGCCUCCUCAUAAUCAUAUCUUCUUACUCUUACCUCUUAUUAAUCCUAGAUAAGCAAUGUUACAAACUUACUUCUAAAGUAUAAAUAGAAAAUUUAAAACACCACCAAAAUUAAAUGUCUAAUGGUUAAUCCUCAUCCUGUCCUUUCUUUACAGAGACAGUGCUCUGCAGGGAGUCUACCACUGUGAUGGUUAAUACUGAGUGUCAACUUGAUUGGAUUGAAGGAUGCAAAGUAUUGUUCCUGGGUGUGUCUGUGAGGGUGUUGCCAAAGGAGAUUAACAUUUGAGUCAGUGGGCUGGGAAAGGUAGACCCAGCCGUAAUCUAGGUGGGCACCAUCUAAUCAGCUGCCAGCACAGCUAGAAGAUAAAGUAGGCAGAAAAACAUGAAAACAUUAGACUGGCCUAGCCUCUGAGCCUACAUCUUUCUCCCAUGCUGGAUGCUCCCUGCCCUUGAACAUCAGACUCCAAGUUUUUCAGUUUUGGGACUGGGACUCACUAUCCUUGCUCCUCAGCUUGCAGACAGCCUAUUGUGGGACCUUAUGAUCAUGCAUUCUGCUGGACCAACAAACAACAGUGUAUUUUUUCAUCCCCCUGCUGUUUGACAAUAAGAUUUUCUUAGCCUUGUAACAAUUAACAACUCAAAAAUAUACAUCUUUGUAUAUGUCUCCUUGAACAAGAGUUUCUCCCUGAGAAGCUCCCAGAAGAAGAACUGUUGGGCUAUGGAGAAUAUGCAUUGUCAACCUUACUUGGUAGUUCCAACAUAGCUUUCCAAAGUGUUUAUACUUAUUUUCCGUCCCUGCAACCACGCCUUGGAGUUCUUGUUUUGUUUGCAUUAUCACCAACAGUGAAUAUUAUCAAACUUAAUAAAUUUGUAAAUAUAAAAUGUUUUGUCCUUGUUUUAAUUUACAUUUCCUAAGUACUAAAGAAGUUGGACAUCUUUACAUAUAUUUAUUGGCCAUUGUAUUAGUUCAUUUUCACACUGCUAAUAAAGACACACCUGAGCCUGAGUAAUUUAUAAAGAAAAAGAAAUUUAAUGGACUCAUAGUUCCACAUGGCUGGGGAGGUCUCACAAUCAUGGCAGAAGGUGAAUGAGGAGAAAGACAUGUCUUACAUGGCAGCAGACAAGAGAGAGCAUGUGAGGGGAACUGCUGUUUAUAAAAUCAUCAGAUUUCAUGAGACUUAUUCACUAUCAAGGGAACAGCAUGGGAAAAACCCGCCCCAUGAUUCAAUUACCUCCCACAGGCUCCCUCCCAUGACACAUGGGGAUUAUUAGAAUUCAAGGUGAGAUUUGGGUGGGGACACAAAGCCAAACCAUAUCAGCCAUCUAUCUUCCUCUGUCAGUUUACCAUUAUAUAUUUUAACAAUAUUUAUAUCUGAUAUUAUUGAUUUCUAAGAGCAUUUUAUAUAUUCUGCGUAUUAAUAUUUCAUUGGUAAUAUGAGUUGCAAGUGUCUUUUCUCAGUCUAUGACUUUUAUUUUCAUCUCUGUCCCCUUUUAUACAGAAGUUUUAUGUUUCAGUGUAUCAGAAUGUAUUAAUUUUUCCUUUCGUGCUUUCUCUAAGAAUUAUAUCUUAGGAGUAAGUUCAAGAGAGCUAUUGUACAAUAUGGUUGUAUAGUUAAUAACAUUUUGAAAAUCACUGACUAGAUUGUUUUUACCACAAAAAAUGAUAAGUACAUGAUGUAAUGUAUGUGUUAAUUAGCUCAAAUGAGCCAUUCCACAAUGUAUACGUAUUUCAAAACAAUGUUGUACACAAUAAGUAUAUAAAUAUAUGCAAUUUCUAUUGGUCAAUUAAAAAUAUAUUUUACUAAAGGCAUAAAAAUAUUCUCCCAUUUUUUGGUUGAAAGUUUUAGAGCUUUGCUGAUCACAUUUAGGUCUUUAAGCUAUCUGGAAUGUAUUUUUGUGAAUGAUGUGAUAUAGCAAUCUCAUUUUAUCUUGUACUAUAUAAUGGCCAAGUUCCUCAGCAUCAUUUAUUGAUGAUUUUAUCCCCUUUCUCAUAUAAAAAACUCCCAA
Molecule: long non-coding RNA, 2485 nt
Filed under: Homo sapiens (human)
Lineage: Eukaryota; Metazoa; Chordata; Mammalia; Primates; Hominidae
Description: non-protein coding PTCSC3:10
Source: RNAcentral